AGCAGCCGCGGUAAUUCCAGCUCCAAUAGCGUAUAUUAAAGUUGUUGCAGUUAAAAAGCUCGUAGUUGAACUUCAGACUUGGUUGGGCGGUCCGCCUAACGGCGUGUACUGUCUGGCUGGGUCUUACCUCUUGGUGAGCCAGCGUGCCCUUUAUUGGCGUGCGUUGGGGAACCAGGACUUUUACCUUGAGAAAAU
This 195-nucleotide ribosomal RNA is filed under the name uncultured Glomeromycotina. RNAcentral describes it as "partial 18S ribosomal RNA". It matches the Rfam family "Eukaryotic small subunit ribosomal RNA", at positions 569 to 766 of the family's 1831-position model. The record is from RNAcentral. Lineage: Eukaryota; Fungi; Glomeromycota.